AGCGAACGCUGGCGGCAUGCUUAACACAUGCAAGUCGCACGGCCCGCAAGGGCAGUGGCGGACGGGUGAGUAACGCGUAGGUAUCUGUCUCCGGGUGGGGGAUAACUGUGGGAAACUACAGCUAAUACCGCAUGAAGCCUGAGGGCCAAAGGCGCAAGUCGCCUGGAGAGGAGCCUGCGUACGAUUAGCUUGUUGGCGGGGUAAAGCCCACCAAGGCGACGAUCGUAGCUGGUCUAGAGAGGAUGAUCAGCCACACU
This 257-nucleotide ribosomal RNA is filed under the name uncultured bacterium. Its description in RNAcentral is "partial 16S ribosomal RNA". It matches the Rfam family "Bacterial small subunit ribosomal RNA", at positions 29 to 314 of the family's 1533-position model. The record is from RNAcentral.